GCUAAUCACUCGGUUAGCGUGCUUCCCCUUUCCUUUUUCCUCACUCGGGAACAAAAAGCAGGUUAACUGUAACUCUCUUAGUUCAUAGGCUUCUGUCAUUCAUAGGUGAAUAUUUAAAAGGCAAUUCAAAGUCCGCUAACCAAAACAUGGGGCACCACAACAGUAAGAUGAGUUCAAGUGUGGAGGCUUGCCACAUGUGAGCUUGUUCAUUGCAUAGUAUUAAAGAUGAUCUUAUGUUAUGUGGAGACAAAUGACUAGAACAUACUGUAUUUAUUAAGGUUAUAUAUUUUGGGGGGGAAAUAGUAUACUGUAUUUUCGGGAAAAGUACGGUAAUCAUUUUUACAAGAAUAAAUUCUG
Molecule: long non-coding RNA, 357 nt
Organism: Hippocampus zosterae (dwarf seahorse)
Lineage: Eukaryota; Metazoa; Chordata; Actinopteri; Syngnathiformes; Syngnathidae
Exons: 2
Source: RefSeq, a predicted model, not a curated record